Molecule: ribosomal RNA, 488 nt
Filed under: uncultured Deferribacteres bacterium
Lineage: Bacteria; Pseudomonadati; Deferribacterota; Deferribacteres
Description: bacterial SSU rRNA
Rfam family: Bacterial small subunit ribosomal RNA
Source: RNAcentral
GACACCACGUGGAGGAUGAAGCCCCUCGGGGUGUAAACUCCUGUCAGAAGGGAAGAAGGCGCGGGCGUUAAUACCGUCCGUUGCUUGACGGUACCUUCAGAGGAAGCUCCGGCUAACUACGUGCCAGCAGCCGCGGUAAUACGUAGGGAGCGAGCGUUGUUCGGAUUUACUGGGCGUAAAGGGCACGUAGGCGGGUAUGCAAGUCGGUUGUGAAAUCCUCUGGCUCAACCAGAGAACUGCAGCCGAAACUGCACACCUUGAGUCUAGCAGAGGGAAUCGGAAUCCCAGGUGUAGCGGUGAAAUGCGUAGAUAUCUGGGAGAACAUCAGUGGCGAAGGCGGAUUCCUGGGCUGGUACUGACGCUGAGGUGCGAAAGCUAAGGGAGCGAACAGGAUUAGAUACCCUGGUAGUCUUAGCCGUAAACGAUGGGUACUAGGUGUUGGAGGACAUUGACCCCUUCAGUGCCGUAGCUAACGCAUUAAGUACCCC